CUUCUCUAUUGUUCCUGUUGGUUAUGUUGAUGAACUACCUGUAAGUCAUAAAAUUAUUUUAUUUACUUGGGAAAGAAAUUUUGACUUGCAUUGCUGAUACUUGCUUUUAGCUUUUUAUGUUAGUGGCUUCUGGCUAGAUAUGUCACUCUCAUCAUUCAUCGAAUUCUAAAUUGGUAGAACUCUCUGAACCGGAGCUAUAUUUGCGCUAUGUCAUCUUUGAUUACAGAGUGAUUUUGUUGUAACGGUGAAGUUACUCCCUCUGUGAUAUAGAGGUCAUGGGUUCGAGCCAUG
RNAcentral lists this unclassified non-coding RNA (291 nucleotides) under Hevea brasiliensis (rubber tree). The record is from RNAcentral. Lineage: Eukaryota; Viridiplantae; Streptophyta; Magnoliopsida; Malpighiales; Euphorbiaceae.